RNAcentral lists this long non-coding RNA (1351 nucleotides) under Homo sapiens (human). RNAcentral describes it as "HSALNT0216240". Lineage: Eukaryota; Metazoa; Chordata; Mammalia; Primates; Hominidae. The record is from RNAcentral.
GGCCAUGGUGGGCAGCCCGUGGCUUUAUGAGUGAGGACAGCCAGGAGCACCGAACCCCAAUACCCGGAACACUAGCACAGCAACAGUGCCAGGCAGACCCCAAUCUCUCAAUUCCUGGCCCCGCACUUGCGUCAAUAUGGUACCGCAGUGAGACCCUACAUCUGCUCCACCGAGGCUGACCCUGGAACCAGUGCUGGAUCUCUGAUGACUAGGAGGACCCGGUGGUUACCAGGGUCCCACAGCCAGUCUGCAGACCUGCCCAGGCAUGACAGUGUUUCCAUGUCCUCAUCAAAACGAGAGAAAAGACGGCUGGGUGAGGUGGCUCAUACCUGUAAUCCCAGCAUUCUGGGAGGCUUAGGUGGGAAGACAGCUGGAGCCUAGGGGUUCAAGACCAGCCUGGGCAACACAGUGACACUGACCCUGUCACUACCAAAAAAAUAAAUUAGCUGGGUGUGGUGGCGCGUUCCCACAGUCCCAGCUACAUGAGAGGCUUGAGGUGGGAGGAUCAAUUGAGCCCAGGAAAUUGAGGCUUCAGUGAGCCGUGCACUUCAGCCUGGAUGACACAGCAAGACCCUGACUCAAAAACAAGAGAGAAGAGCAAUGGAAUGGGUUCCUCUGGAAACUCAAUUUGAAGAAGGACCCUUUUUCUGACAUGCUCUUCCUCUGCUUUUAGCAUUGAAAUAUACCUUUGGAAAUGUAAAGUGCCUCCACUACAAGGCAAGGAGCUCAUCUGCUUUUUCUUGGAGGUGUCUCCAGUGCCCAGCUCCAUCCCCAGUGCAGACGGGACAGCUUGCUCAGCUUGUGAAGUGAAUGAGGUGUGAAGAGCAGGAUGCACAUACGCAGUGACUGUGCCUGAAGAGGGCAGAGCCGUGGGAGAACACUCGCUCAUCCCAAUGUCUGUGGACCGUGCCAAUAACGGCGGUGAACCCAAUGCAGAUGCCCCUGCUUCCAUGUCCUGAGACAGUCCAGCAAGUCAGGUUCCAUGGCAGGAAGCCAGCACCGCAGUGGGGAGAGGUUAGGGCACUGCAGGGAGGCUUCCCACUGGGCUUCCCCCAAUGAAAGUGGAGAAUGUCCCAAGCAAGAGGACCCGUGCAAAGACCCGAAGAUGAGGGGGGCUGGAAGAUUUGCCAGGGUUUGGCUCACAGAGUAGCAAAGAAAAACAAGGAAAAACUACUUAUGACAAUUAUAUACAUACAGAAGGCUUCACAGGUAAAUCAAAUCUAUCCAUCCAACCUUUUUUUUUUUUUUUAAGAUGGAGUCUCGCCCUGUCGCCCAGGCUGGAGUGCAGUGGCGCAAUCUGGGCUCACUGCAACCUCCGCCUCCCGGGUUCACACCAUUCUCUUGCCUCAGC